Molecule: ribosomal RNA, 253 nt
Filed under: uncultured bacterium
Lineage: Bacteria
Description: partial 16S ribosomal RNA
Rfam family: Bacterial small subunit ribosomal RNA
Source: RNAcentral
UACGUAGGUGGCAAGCGUUGUUCGGAAUUAUUGGGCGUAAAGGGCGCGUAGGCGGUUUGUUAAGUCGGCUGUGAAAUCCUGGGGCUCAACCCUGGAACUGCAUUGGAUACUUCCUUGCUAGAGUACUGGAGAGGAAACUGGAAUUUACGGUGUAGCAGUGAAAUGCGUAGAGAUCGUAAGGAAGACCAGUGGCGAAGGCGAGUUUCUGGACAGUUACUGACGCUGAGGCACGAAGGCCAGGGGAGCAAACGGG